AGGCUAGUUCCCAAUUAUUUUCAUGCCGGCAGUGCUAAAUGUGUUUAAUGACUCANNNNNNNNNNNNNNNNNNNNNNUCUGAAGACCUCACAAUUCAGUGGAACACACACAUUUUACCUCAGGCUAUUUUAUUUAUUGAAAAAAGGAGGAAAUGCAGAACCAUACCCAAAUGAUAAGUAAAAGUUCUUACCUUGUUCUUGUCCAUGGAAUUACAGACUUGAUCAACAUGUUGACUGACUUUUUGAUUCAGACCUUGCAGACCCAAGCAUGUCAAACUCAGGCAGUGUUUGCAGACUGGAUGGGUAUUCCAUUGUAAGUUUUCUGUACCACAGGUCUCAUUAGCAGAAACUGCUGUCUCACCACCCACUACAGAUUUGCUAGUCCCCAUCCUGAUUCACAGUCUAUAGCUUUUUCUCUAUUUUCAUGUAAGGUCUUUCUGAAUUUAGUCUCUCACACUUCACUAAAACUUGAGGUUAACAUAUGCUCCUAGAAAGCUCCUCUAAACCUCUUACAGCUAUAGGCUAAAUAUGAAUAGAAAGCCAGUGAGAUUAAUUCAUCUGUACAAUUUUAAGACCAAGGUCAUUGGUUAGUAUCUGAUAGGAUUGUUGCUUACUACCAUUCAGAUAAAUACUUUUCUGUAAAGGACAGAGACAAUAUUUGAGGGUAAUCCUUGCCAUAUUGUUAGCCAUAAAUUACACCUAUAUUUGGAGAAAGAAAUGGCAACCUACUCCAGUAUUCUAGCGUGGAAAAUUCCAUGGACAGAGGAGCCUAGAGGGCACAGUCCACGGGGUCACAAAGAGUCANAGCGUGGAAAAUUCCAUGGACAGAGGAGCCUAGAGGGCACAGUCCAGGGGGUCACAAAGAGUCAGACAUGAAUGAGCAUGUUCACACACACACACACACACACACACACACCCCUACAUUAUUGAGUAGUACAGUGGGGCUUAAUGGAAGGAACUUACAAUCAGGAAGUGGAGGUUCUAGGCUUUAUUCACCACUUAUUAACUACAUAGAACUAUUACUUCGGUAAGACUCAAGUUUCUCAUCAGUGAAUGAGUAUCAAGGGU
Molecule: long non-coding RNA, 1067 nt
Filed under: Capra hircus (goat)
Lineage: Eukaryota; Metazoa; Chordata; Mammalia; Artiodactyla; Bovidae
Description: lncRNA (ENSCHIG00010003037.1)
Source: RNAcentral